GAAAUGCGAUAAGUAAUGUGAAUUGCAGAAUUCAGUGAAUCAUCGAAUCUUUGAACACAUCUUGCGCUCCUUGGUAUUCCUUGGAGCAUGCCUGUUUGAGUAUCAUGAAAUCUUCAAAGUAAAUCUUUUGUUAACUCAAUUGGUUUCUACUUUGGUAUUGGAGGUCUUUGCAGCUUCACACCUGCUCCUCUUUGUUCAUUAGCUGGAUCUCAGUGUUAUGCUUGGUUCCACUCGGCGUGAUAAGUUAUCUAUCGCUGAGGACACUGUAAAAGGUGGCCAAGGUAAAUGCAGAUGAACCGCUUCUAAUAGUCCAUUGACUUGGACAAUACUUUUAUGAUCUGAUCUCAAAUCAGGUAGGACUACCCGCUGAACUUAAGC
Molecule: unclassified non-coding RNA, 378 nt
Filed under: plant metagenome
Description: partial contains 5.8S ribosomal RNA, internal transcribed spacer 2, and large subunit ribosomal RNA
Rfam family: 5.8S ribosomal RNA (bases 1-105)
Source: RNAcentral